Molecule: ribosomal RNA, 708 nt
Filed under: uncultured bacterium
Lineage: Bacteria
Description: bacterial SSU rRNA
Rfam family: Bacterial small subunit ribosomal RNA
Source: RNAcentral
GGACGAACGCUGGCGGUAUGCUUAACACAUGCAAGUCGAACGAGAAGGAAGAGCUUGCUCUUCCUGAAAGUGGCGAACGGGUGAGUAACGCGUGGGUAACUUACCCUUUGGAAAGGAAUAGCCUCGGGAAACUGGGAGUAAUGCCUUAUAAGAUACGUUUGUCGCAUGGCAUUUGUAUUAAACGCUCCGGCGCCAUAGGAUGGACCCGCGUCCCAUUAGCUAGUUGGUGAGAUAACAGCUCACCAAGGCCACGAUGGGUAACCGGUCUGAGAGGGCGAACGGUCACACUGGAACUGAGACACGGUCCAGACUCCUACGGGAGGCAGCAGUGGGGAAUAUUGCGCAAUGGGGGCAACCCUGACGCAGCAAUACCGCGUGAGUGAAGAAGGUUUUCGGAUCGUAAAGCUCUGUUAUUGGGGAAGAAAAAAAGACGGUACCCAAGAAGAAAGUUCCGGCUAACUACGUGCCAGCAGCCGCGGUAAUACGUAGGGAACAAGCGUUGUCCGGAUUUACUGGGCAUAAAGGGCACGCAGGCGGUUUUUUAAGUCAGAUGUGAAAGGCCACAGCUCAACUGUGGACAUGCAUUUGAAACUGAAAGACUUGAGUAUUGGAGAGGCAAGUGGAAUUCCUAGUGUAGCGGUGAAAUGCGUAGAUAUUAGGAGGAACACCGGUGGCGAAGGCGGCUUGCUGGACAAAUACUGACGCUGA